Molecule: microRNA precursor, 184 nt
Filed under: Mus spretus (western wild mouse)
Lineage: Eukaryota; Metazoa; Chordata; Mammalia; Rodentia; Muridae
Description: predicted gene, 54362 (ENSMSPG00010018796.1)
Source: RNAcentral
CAGUGAUCCAGAGAGAGGUGAAGAAGCAGGAGAAGUGCAUGAUUGCCUCUUGUCAGCCACUCUGUUCUAGUCAGCGACUCUGUUCUUACUGCAGACAGCAAGUUUCCAGGGCUGCACUUAUCCCUACAGGGUUCUACCCUCGUCUCCCUUCUCUUUCUCAUCUACCUCAUCCCAGUCACUCUCU